RNAcentral lists this non-coding RNA (233 nucleotides) under Strongyloides venezuelensis. RNAcentral describes it as "Eukaryotic small subunit ribosomal RNA". It matches the Rfam family "Eukaryotic small subunit ribosomal RNA", at positions 1247 to 1488 of the family's 1831-position model. The record is from Rfam by way of RNAcentral. Lineage: Eukaryota; Metazoa; Nematoda; Chromadorea; Rhabditida; Strongyloididae.
ACUAAAUAAAAAUGCGACCUCUCUCUAUGUCAAAAAAGAAGAGAAUAUGGCCGUUCUUAGUUCGUGGAUAUGAUUUGUCUGGUUGAUUCCGAUAACGAGCGAGACUUUUAUGUUAUAUUAAAUAAUAUUAUUAUUAUUUAUUAAUAAUAUUUAUUUUAAUAACAGAUUAAUAGUGUUUAACUAUUUGAGAGAGAGCAAUAACAGGUCUGUGAUGCCCUUAGAUGUCCGGGGCU